RNAcentral lists this ribosomal RNA (703 nucleotides) under bacterium RS46A. RNAcentral describes it as "bacterial SSU rRNA". It matches the Rfam family "Bacterial small subunit ribosomal RNA", at positions 187 to 893 of the family's 1533-position model. The record is from RNAcentral.
GCAUCUCUUUGAUAUUAAAGCUCCGGCGGUUAAAGAUGGGCGUGCGUCUGAUUAGGUAGUUGGCGGGGUAACGGCCCACCAAGCCUUCGAUCAGUAGCUGAUGUGAGAGCAUGAUCAGCCACACGGGCACUGAGACACGGGCCCGACUCCUACGGGAGGCAGCAGUAAGGAAUAUUGGUCAAUGGACGCAAGUCUGAACCAGCCAUGCCGCGUGGAGGAUGAAGGCCCUCUGGGUUGUAAACUUCUUUUCUUUGGGACGAAACCCCUGUUUCUACGGGGACUGACGGUACCAGAGGAAUAAGCACCGGCUAACUCCGUGCCAGCAGCCGCGGUAAUACGGAGGGUGCAAGCGUUAUCCGGAUUCACUGGGUUUAAAGGGAGCGUAGGUGGGCUUUUAAGUCAGUGGUGAAAUCUUUGGGCUUAACCCGAAAACUGCCAUUGAUACUAUUAGUCUUGAAUUCUCUGGAGGUAAGCGGAAUAUGUCAUGUAGCGGUGAAAUGCUUAGAUAUGACAUAGAACACCCAUUGCGAAGGCAGCUUACUACGGAGACAUUGACACUGAGGCUCGAAAGCGUGGGGAUCAAACAGGAUUAGAUACCCUGGUAGUCCACGCCCUAAACGAUGAUUACUCGACAUUAGCGAUAUUACUGUUAGUGUCUAAGCGAAAGCAUUAAGUAAUCCACCUGGGAAGUACGUCCGCAAGG